GACGAACGCUGGCGGCGUGCCUAAUACAUGCAAGUCGAGCGGACGGAUGGGAGCUUGCUCCCAGACCGUCAGCGGCGGACGGGUGAGUAACACGUGGGCAACCUGCCUGUAAGACUGGGAUAACUCCGGGAAACCGGGGCUAAUACCGGAUAACUCUUUCCCUCACAUGAGGGAAAGCUGAAAGAUGGCAUCUCGCUAUCACUUACAGAUGGGCCCGCGGCGCAUUAGCUAGUUGGUGAGGUAACGGCUCACCAAGGCGACGAUGCGAAGCCGACCUGAGAGGGUGAUCGGCCACACUGGGACUGAGACACGGCCCAGACUCCUACGGGAGGCAGCAGUAGGGAAUCUUCCGCAAUGGACGAAAGUCUGACGGAGCAACGCCGCGUGAGUGAUGAAGGUUUUCGGAUCGUAAAACUCUGUUGUCAGGGAAGAACAAGUACCGGAGUAACUGCCGGUACCUUGACGGUACCUGACCAGAAAGCCACGGCUAACUACGUG
RNAcentral lists this ribosomal RNA (498 nucleotides) under uncultured bacterium. RNAcentral describes it as "partial 16S ribosomal RNA". It matches the Rfam family "Bacterial small subunit ribosomal RNA", at positions 28 to 507 of the family's 1533-position model. The record is from RNAcentral.